This is a long non-coding RNA of Dama dama (fallow deer), 665 nucleotides long. RefSeq lists it as uncharacterized. Lineage: Eukaryota; Metazoa; Chordata; Mammalia; Artiodactyla; Cervidae. The record is from RefSeq and is a predicted model, not a curated record. The transcript has 3 exons.
ACCAGCUCAGGCCUGUGCUGGACCUGUCUGCCUUGGUCCCUGCUGUUGCCAGUGAGUCUGGCUAGGUAUGAUCACAUGAUCAAGUUCUGGCCAAUGAGAAAUAGGAGUAUCCAGGAAUGGGAAGAGACCUGCCCUUCUUUGGCCCUUUGUCCAGCCAGCAGCCUGGAAAGCAGAUGUGAUGGCUGAGCUCUGGCAGCCACGUUGGAGUCUGAGGUGAAGGAACACAUGCUCAGGGAUGUAGAGCAAUGAGCGGGCUGGACCCUGCGUCCCUGGUGACAUGUAUGGCCUUCACCGCAGCCCUAGCUUGCCCACAUCUAGAGUUCUUUUAUGGGAAAGAAAAAACACACAUUUACCUUGUUUAAGCACUGCAGUUUUGAGCUUUGCUGUUAUAGGCAGUCAACCCUAGUCAAAGCUGAUAUAGUGGGGAAGAAGUCUUGAAGAAGAGAGACCAACACGAAAACCAGAGGAGUGAUCAGGCCGAAAGACUGCAUGUGCUUUGGGUGGCUCACAUGGGACCAGUGGAUGACCGGCUGGGUCAGGACCUGACUCUGGAUGCAAGGUCUCCUGUACUAAGGAGUCUUCAAUUUUUCUCAGUGUCUUUUUGUCAUCCUUGGAGAUGAGCUUGUGGCCCUUCUUCCUUGAGCUACUGAUGGAACAGGCCGUGG